AUACGGAGGAUCCGAGCGUUAUCCGGAUUUAUUGGGUUUAAAGGGUGCGCAGGGGGCCAUUUAAGUCAGCGGUUAAAUCGUGGGGCUCAACCCCAUUCUGCCGUUGAUACUGGGUGGCUUGAUUGCGGUCGAGGUUGGCGGAAUUCGUUGUGUAGCGGUGAAAUGCAUAGAUAUGACGAAGAACACCGAUCGCGUAGGCAGCUGACCAGACCGCAAAUGACGCUCAUGCACGAAAGUGCGGGGAUCGAACAGGAUUAGAUACCCUGGUAGUCCGCACAGUAAACGAUGAAUACUUGUUUUCGGCGAUAUAAUGUCGGAGGCAAAGCGAAAGCGAUAAGUAUUCCACCUGGGGAGUACGCCGGCAACGGUGAAACUUAAAGGAAUUGACGGGG
This 392-nucleotide ribosomal RNA is filed under the name uncultured bacterium. Its description in RNAcentral is "partial 16S ribosomal RNA". It matches the Rfam family "Bacterial small subunit ribosomal RNA", at positions 523 to 918 of the family's 1533-position model. The record is from RNAcentral.